RNAcentral lists this unclassified non-coding RNA (323 nucleotides) under Coprinopsis pachyderma. RNAcentral describes it as "partial internal transcribed spacer region". The stretch from base 1 to 46 matches the Rfam family "Eukaryotic small subunit ribosomal RNA", at positions 1786 to 1831 of the family's 1831-position model. The record is from RNAcentral. Lineage: Eukaryota; Fungi; Basidiomycota; Agaricomycetes; Agaricales; Psathyrellaceae.
AAGUCGUAACAAGGUUUCCGUAGGUGAACCUGCGGAAGGAUCAUUAUUGAAUAAAUCUGACAUGGUUGUAGCUGGCUCUUCGGGGCAUGUGCUCGCCUGUCACCUUUAUCUUUCCACCUGUGCACACACUGUAGUCCUGGAUACCUCUCGCCGCAAGGCGGAUGCAGAGACUGCUGUUCAGCCUCCGAAAGGGGGAGGUCGGCUAUCUCUGAAUUUCCAGGCCUACGAUUAUCACAUACCCCAAUUGAAUGUUACAGAAUGUUAUCAAAGGGCCUUGUGCCUAUAAACCUAUACAACUUUCAGCAACGGAUCUCUUGGCUCUC